AACGAACGCUGGCGGCAGGCCUAACACAUGCAAGUCGAACGCCCUAGCAAUAGGGAGUGGCAGACGGGUGAGUAACACGUGGGAACCUUCCCUAUAGUAUGGAAUAGCCCAGGGAAACUUGGAGUAAUACCGUAUACGCCCGAGAGGGGAAAGAUUUAUCGCUAUAGGAUGGGCCCGCGUAGGAUUAGCUAGUUGGUGAGGUAAUGGCUCACCAAGGCGACGAUCCUUAGCUGGUCUGAGAGGACGACCAGCCACACUGGGACUGAGACACGGCCCAGACUCCUACGGGAGGCAGCAGUGGGGAAUAUUGGACAAUGGGCGCAAGCCUGGUCCAGCCAUGCCGCGUGAGUGAUGAAGGCCUUAGGGUUGUAAAGCUCUUUUGCCGGGGACGAUAAUGACGGUACCCGGAGAAUAAGUCCCGGCUAACUUCGUG
This 433-nucleotide ribosomal RNA is filed under the name uncultured bacterium. RNAcentral describes it as "bacterial SSU rRNA". It matches the Rfam family "Bacterial small subunit ribosomal RNA", at positions 29 to 507 of the family's 1533-position model. The record is from RNAcentral.